AUGUGUUAUAUGAUACUUAAUAUUAGAAAGUCAUGGUCACAAGUGAGAAUAAAUUUUAACAGUUCCAAAAAGUUAUUAACUAUGAAAGCAUUUUGUCUUAAUGUUAAGGUUGAAAGCAAUGCACAUUUACUUUUAUUUAUUUAUAUUUGUUUACAUGUGUGUAUUUUAACUAGUGUUGUUUCAAUUUACAAGAGUGUUGCCUUAUCCUAUCAAUUAUGAGAAUACUUGGAUUAAUUGCUAUAUUUGAUUUUCUAUUGCAGUCACACUUUUUCAUGACUUAGAAAUGCUAGAGAGUGUAAUAAUUCUAGAAGCAAAGGAGGCAGAGUGAAAUGGCCCAGACAAAAAUGGGUUCUCUGAAAAUCACAAAACAAAAAGUGUGCUUAUAAUUUGAGACACAGCUGUAUGUUUGAAAUAGUAAACAGUCUCUAAAUUAACCAAUAACGUUUGGCAUCUAUUAGUUCUUUGAGUCAAAGAAAAAAAAAACAAAGAAAACGAAAACUAUAGUCUGAAGAUUUAUUUGCAUUUGCUUCACAAUUUAACUUUAGCCAUAACUAUUAAUCUUUUAAUUUCAUUUUUAAAGAGAUCAGUUACCACCUAUAUUUAUUGUUUAUGAUUUGUCUAGUGAAUUAUAAUUAUUAACAACUAUAAUGCCUACUAAAAGCUCUAUUAUCUCUAUGUAACUCCCUGAUUCAUAGCAUUUUGUUCUUUUUUGUGAAAUAGAGAACAUUUACUUGUUUAUUUUCUUGGUAGCUGUAGAACAUAAGAGGGGACAGACAUUGAACAGAUAAUUCUAGGUCUCAUUUGGGCAUUUUAUACAAAAUUGCUUCUCUGGAACUAAUUGGCUCUGUUUAGACUUCAGAUGGGUUAUGUAGAGAAAAUACCAUCAUCAUACUGAGCAUUUUAAUAAAAUAAAAAGCAAAAUAUGCACAAGUGAAAAUUAAAGACAGUGACUAGGGGCCUGGAGGGAUGGCUCAGUGGCUGGCUGAGAGUCCUUAUUGCUUUCCCAGAGGACAAUGGUUUAGUUCGCAGCUUGCACACAGUGGUUUACUUACUGCCUUUAAGCCCAGUUCCAGGGGACAACCUUUUCUGUCAUGUGUGAGCUUCUACAUGCACGUAGUUGACAUAACCUCCUUCAAGCUCAUAAACACACAUACAGCUAAAUUCAAAAUGAGUAAAUACGUGUUUUCUAAAACCAAAUAAUGACUGGUGAAGAGCCGAAUUUAUUUUUUUUAAAUCACUGGGAGAAAGUUGAUAAAGUCUUUGCCUUAAAGGGGCAAGUACUCAAUUUAACCCUCCAGACCCAUGGAGUGGUAAGUGCAGGUGCUGGGGGGCGGUGGAGAAAGAUGGACCCUGAGGCUUAUUGUCUAGUCAGCCUACUUGUGAGCUUCAGGCAAGUAAAAGCCUUAAAAACCACCAUGGACAAGAAUUAAGGUAUGAAAUCUGAAUUUGGUCCUUGACAUCUCUCUCUCUCUCUCUCUCUCUCUCUCUCUCUCUCUCUAUCUAUCUAUCUAUCUAUCUAUCGAUCUAUCUGUCUUUGUAUGUAUCCAUACACACCUGUGUCUUCAUACAGAUGUGGCUCUACAUUAACAUAAAACCCCAAACACAUAGUACCCACACAGAGAGAAAAUAAAUAUUACUAAAAACCCACGGUAUGAGAUAAUGUACAUAUGAUCACGUUUGAAUACUGGAAGUUGUGAGAAUUCACUAUGAACAAUGAAUUCACUCUGUAACCCAUGUCAGGGGAAUAGUAAUGCUCCAAAUCCCAACUGUGUAUUCCAUAUUUUCAGAUGUUUCCUGUGAGGCAGAAUUUACCAUUAUUUUCAGAAAAAAAAUAUGUUAUUCAGAGACCACCCACUUCACUGCAUUCGACUAUGCAGUAACAUCUUCUUCCCUGCAUGCUUCUCUGCCCUUUCCAAGGGCUCUACCUGGCUUAUGAACAAGACUAGGGAGGGUGCUGUUGCUCAUGGCUAUAACCCAUCCCACACCAGUGAUUGCUCAGAGAUCAGAAAAGGAUGCUGAAUCCAGUGUCCCUUGAGCUUUGUUCAACAAGUACCAUAUUCAUCCAUCUAACUCAAAACCACUCAAAACACAAUCUCCAUAGCAUAAUACUUUUUUUUUUUCGAUUCAUCAUUAAGGAAAAUGCCAAAGGUUUCUCCUUCACAAAGUCACAAAAAAGGAUAAUCACCUGGAUUAUCAAGAUCCUUUCCGUUUUAGCUACAUUAACUUAAAAUAUAAUGGCCCCACACAAACUUGUGCUUUUCUUUCCUCCACCUUCCAUGCUUGGGGCUAUAACCAGGUGUUUCAUAUGAAUGCUGAUAUUUGCUAGUAAUAAUAUUUUAAUGUUAUCUGGACAUUUUCUCCUUGAAAAUAUACUGCAUUUAAAUUUACCUGUUGACUACAAAAAUUAUUGGUAAAUUUUAUAAUUUUCUAAAUUAUGCCUAGAUAAUGCAUACAAAGCAUCUCUUAAGUUUCAGACAAUACAAAAAGAUGGCAGGAAAAUGCCAUAAUCUUCUUCCUUCCUCCCUUUCUUUCUUUCUUUCUUUCUUUCUUUCUUUCUUUCUUUCUUUCUUUCUUCCUUUCUUCCUUCCUUCCUUCCUUCCUUCCUUCCUUCCUUCCUUCCUUCCUUCUCUCUCUCUCUCUCUCUCUCUCUCUCUUUCUUUCUUUCUUGUUUAUUUGCUGUGGGAAUCUUCUAAAGUCAAUACUCAAUAAUAUAAAAAGAAAUAUUUUCUCUAUUCCAUUGCCUGGAUAAUGUAAGCUGAGGAAAGUUUAUUUUUUAAUUUUCUUUAAAAUUGUUUUUGUUUUGUUUUGGAAAUCCCUAUUUCUAGUUCUUUCUCCAGUUGCAAUUAACAUUAAUAAAUGGGUACUCAUCACAUGCUCUGGAAAAUACUGUCUUCUUCCCAAUGAGGCAUGAAUAAAAUCAAGCUAAUUUGUUUCCAUGAUCAGACAGGCUAUUUUCUACAAUAAUUGAACUCCAACAUUCUCCGUUUUACACAACAAAUUGACAACUAAGCUAAUCUUUCUUAAUGAGUUCUUUUGUGCUGAACCACAACAUGCACAUGAUAGCUGACAGUAUUCUAAGUUCAAAUGAACACUGCAUAUGACAUCUUAUAUGGAAAAAGAGACCGUGACCUCACUCUAAAAAAAAAUGAAUUAGUAUACAAAAACGGAAUUUAUUAUUUUCCCAUAAUGUUGUCAAUAAAAUGAUUUUGUAAUGUAUUGCAGGAGACAUUAUGGUUUUACAUAUUUACCAAAAUGUUAUUUUUAGUUUUUAUAUUAAGAAACACUAAGUUGUUGAUAAAUCUAUUAACCAAAUAUUUAACCAAAUUAAUUUUAUCUUUACUGUUUUAUUGAGUUUUCAAACCAAAGUAAACUUUACACUAUUUUAUAGUCAGUACAAGAUUCUAAUAAAAAAUUGAAUCAUAUCUAAGCUAUAUUGUCCAAAUAGUAUGGUAUCUAAUGCAGAAAGUCACUGAAAUAAGCUAUAACGUUUUACAUAAAUUAAGGCACAACUAUUUCUUAACAAUGAAAUCAAAUUUCACGUUGGUUAAAGUACUAAUUCCACUGAUUAUAAUACACUCAGAGAGAUUAAAAUGGUUUAAUAUAUGUUAGAAAGAUAGUGAAUAAAAAUUAUGUGGCAAUAUCUUCUAACAAAAUUUAUUCAAAAACUCACUUUGUAAAAUGCGGAACUCAUUAUACAUCUUAUAAUCUCAGAGACCAGACUGAGCAUAAAUGUGUAUAUUUAGGAUUCAGUUCCUAGUACUUAGUUCACUUCUAAUGUAAAAUCAUUACUCUUUUAGAUGAUUAUUAAGAAUGCCAAGUAGACACAAAUUAGAUUUAUUUUAAUAUUUGCUAAAAGUUUACAUGUGGUAUAUCGCACAUUGGUGAACAACAAAAUAACAAGAGUCUGGACAACAAAAUAACAAGACCCUGUCUGUCAAAUUUUGUGAAACUAAAUACAGGAAGAAGAAAAAAAAAAACAAAC
Molecule: long non-coding RNA, 3982 nt
Filed under: Mus musculus (house mouse)
Lineage: Eukaryota; Metazoa; Chordata; Mammalia; Rodentia; Muridae
Description: long non-coding RNA chr6:45229791-45233773
Source: RNAcentral